RNAcentral lists this ribosomal RNA (443 nucleotides) under uncultured bacterium. Its description in RNAcentral is "partial 16S ribosomal RNA". It matches the Rfam family "Bacterial small subunit ribosomal RNA", at positions 338 to 795 of the family's 1533-position model. The record is from RNAcentral.
CCUACGGGAGGCUGCAGUGGGGAAUAUUGGGCAAUGGAGGCAACUCUGACCCAGCAACGCCGCGUGAAUGAUGAAGGUCUUCGGAUUGUAAAGUUCUGUGAUGGGGGAUGAACACAAUGACGGUACCCCAAUAGCAAGCCACGGCCAACUACGUGCCAGCAGCCGCGGUAAGACGUAGGUGGCAGGCGUUAUCCGGAAGGACUGGGCGGAAGGGGUGCGGCGGUGGUUUAGUAAGUUGGCGGUGAAAUUCCGGGGCUCAACCUCGGCGCUACCGCCAAAACUAUUAGACUAGAGUGCAGGAGGGGUAAGUGGAAUUCCUAGUGUAGCGGUGGAAUGCGUAGAUAUUAGGAGGAACAUCAGGGGCGAAGGCGACUUACUGGACUGUAACUGACACUGAGGCACGAAAGCGUGGGGAGCAAACAGGAUUAGAUACCCCUGUAGUC